Molecule: ribosomal RNA, 551 nt
Filed under: Tamlana sp. ini31
Lineage: Bacteria; Pseudomonadati; Bacteroidota; Flavobacteriia; Flavobacteriales; Flavobacteriaceae
Description: bacterial SSU rRNA
Rfam family: Bacterial small subunit ribosomal RNA
Source: RNAcentral
UCGUACAUAGAAAAGCUUGCUUUUUUGAUGACGACCGGCGCACGGGUGCGUAACGCGUAUGCAAUCUACCUUUUGCUACUGGAUAGCCCAGAGAAAUUUGGAUUAACACAGUAUAGUAUCAUAUUACUGCAUGGUAUUUAUGAUUAAAGGCUACGGCAGAAGAUGAGCAUGCGUCCUAUUAGCUAGUUGGUGUGGUAACGGCAUACCAAGGCAACGAUAGGUAGGGGCCCUGAGAGGGGGAUCCCCCACACUGGUACUGAGACACGGACCAGACUCCUACGGGAGGCAGCAGUGAGGAAUAUUGGACAAUGGGAGGCAACUCUGAUCCAGCCAUGCCGCGUGCAGGAUGACUGCCCUAUGGGUUGUAAACUGCUUUUAUACAGGAAGAAACCGCUCUACGUGUAGAGCUCUGACGGUACUGUAAGAAUAAGGAUCGGCUAACUCCGUGCCAGCAGCCGCGGUAAUACGGAGGAUCCAAGCGUUAUCCGGAAUCAUUGGGUUUUAAAGGGUCCGUAGGUGGAUGAUUAAGUCAGGGGUGAAAGUUUGCAGCU